RNAcentral lists this ribosomal RNA (504 nucleotides) under uncultured bacterium. Its description in RNAcentral is "partial 16S ribosomal RNA". It matches the Rfam family "Bacterial small subunit ribosomal RNA", at positions 28 to 507 of the family's 1533-position model. The record is from RNAcentral.
GACGAACGCUGGCGGCGUGCUUAACACAUGCAAGUCGAACGGUGAAGCGCUUGCCUUUUUGGUGGGUGUGGAUGAGUGGCGAACGGGUGAGUAACACGUGAGUAACCUGCCCUCUUCUUCUGGAUAACCUCAUGAAAGUGGGGCUAAUACGGGGUAUUCCGGGUCUGUCGCAUGGCGGGUUUGGGAAAGAUUGCGCCUUUGGGUGUUUUCGGUGGGGGAUGGGCUCGCGGCCUAUCAGCUUGUUGGUGGGGUGAUGGCCUACCAAGGCGGUGACGGGUAGCCGGCCUGAGAGGGUGGACGGCCACACUGGGACUGAGACACGGCCCAGAGUCCUGCGGGAGGCAGCGGUGGGGAAUAUUGCACAAUGGGGGCAAGCCUGAGGCAGCGACGCCGCGUGAGGGAUGGAGGCCUUCGGGUUGUGAACCUCUUUCGCCAGUGAAGCAGGCCUGCUCCUGUGUGGGUGGGUUGACGGUAGCUGGAUAAGAAGCGCCGGCUAACUACGUG